Molecule: ribosomal RNA, 274 nt
Filed under: uncultured bacterium
Lineage: Bacteria
Description: partial 16S ribosomal RNA
Rfam family: Bacterial small subunit ribosomal RNA
Source: RNAcentral
AUACGGAGGGUGCAAGCGUUAUCCGGAUUCAUAGGGUUUAAAGGGUGCGCAGGCGGAUAUUUAAGUCAGUGGUGAAAUCCCGGGGCUCAACCUCGGAACUGCCAUUGAUACUGAAUAUCUGGAAUACGGUUGAAGUGGGCGGAAUGUAGCAUGUAGCGGUGAAAUGCAUAGAGAUGCAACAGAACACCGAUCGCGAAGGCAGCUCACUAAGCCGAUAUUGACGCUCAGGCACGAAAGCGUGGGGAGCGAACAGGAUUAGAAACCCCAGUAGUCC